GCCUGUGUGGCACAAUGGGUCAGUGCAUCUCGCUGUUAACCAGAAGGUGGUUCAAAACCCACCCAGGGGUA
This is a non-coding RNA of Podarcis lilfordi (Lilford's wall lizard), 71 nucleotides long. NCBI's taxonomy places the organism in Eukaryota, Metazoa, Chordata, Lepidosauria, Squamata, Lacertidae. The record is from the annotation of a GenBank genome assembly.